RNAcentral lists this long non-coding RNA (10809 nucleotides) under Citrus sinensis (sweet orange). RNAcentral describes it as "long non-coding RNA (CSIN_LNC001608)". Lineage: Eukaryota; Viridiplantae; Streptophyta; Magnoliopsida; Sapindales; Rutaceae. The record is from RNAcentral.
UCCGCUUUACAGAAAUCUCUCCCGAAAAUCCGUGCAGCUCAUGAUGCUAAAACCUUAUCCGAUGCAAGAGCAUAUCUCAGUGCAGCUCUAACAAAUAAGAAUACUUGUUUAGAGAGCCUUAACUCUGCUUCAGGUUCUUUGAAGCAACCUUUAGUGAACUCUAUAACAAGUACUUACAGGUAUGUGAGCAACUCCCUGUCAGCACUUCCUAAGCCAGCUACGACAGAAGGCAACAAACACCGUCGCCGCCUAAUGGGAUUUCCAGAAUGGUUGUCAAGAAAAGAUCGCCGGAUUCUGCAGAGCUCCGAUGACGAUAAUGAGUAUGACCUGAGUCAAGUGCUGACUGUGGCUGCCGAUGGAACAGGAGAUUUCACUACCAUCACUGAUGCGAUAAAUUUUGCUCCCAAUAACAGCGAUGAUAGAGUAGUCAUCAAUAUCAAACAAGGGGUUUAUGAGGAGAAUUUGGAAAUUCCAAGCUAUAAGACCAACAUUUUUCUGCUUGGAGGCGGUAAAGAUUCAACUAUCAUCACCGGAAGCAGAAGUGUGGGCGAUGGCUGGACCACUUUCAGAUCUGCAACAGUAGGUAAUUUUCAAAACACUUUUUAGAGCAUCGUGCCUUUUUGUCCAUUAAUAUUUGAACUUUAGAGAUAAAAUGAAAAAAUUUCUACUAGUGCUGAAAGUGUCGUUAGCACUAAUCUUUAAAAUAUCUCAAUGUAAACUUGUUAAUUGCAGCUGUGUCCGGAGACAGGUUUCUGGCUCGGGACCUAACAAUUGAGAACAAGGCAGGGCCAGAGAAGUACCAAGCGGUUGCCUUAAGAGUGAAUGCAGAUUUUGCAGCUUUGUUCAGAUGCAGCUUCUCUGGUUACCAAGAUACGUUAUAUGCACACUCAUUUCGUCAGUUUUACCGAGAGUGCGACGUAUACGGAACCAUAGACUACAUAUUUGGUAACGCUGCAGUGGUUCUCCAGGCAUGUAACAUCGUAUCUAGACUGCCAUUACCAGGGCAAUUCACAGUCAUCACAGCACAAUUAAAAGACGACCCGAAUGAAAACACUGGAAUCUCAAUCCAAAAUUGUUCAAUUUUGGCUACUGAAGAUCUGUAUGCAAAUUCUGCAAGUGUUAAAAGUUACCUAGGCAGGCCCUUGAAGAUCUACUCAACAACAGUUUUUCUUGAGUCCUACAUUGAUGACUUUAUUGAGCCAGCCGGGUGGAGCGAGUGGUCAGGUGAUCAAGGCUUGGACACAUUGUACUACGGAGAGUUCAAUAAUUACGGUCCAGGUUCCGGGACCGAUAAUCGGGUCACUUGGCCCGGGUAUCAUGUCAUGGAUGAGAAUGAUGCAUAUGCUUUUACUGUAUCACAGUUAAUUGAUGGUCAGGAGUGGCUGGAUUCAACUUCAAUUCCUUACCAAGAUGGGAUUUAAUCACCAUCUUUUGUGAAAAUUAAUUUUUAUUUUUAUUAAGUUCGAAUGUAACUAGAACUCUUGUUUGUAUUAGUUUGGUUUCUAAAGUAGAUAUUUAUGAAAUUAGGUUGACGUAAGGAAAUGAUUUGAUCUGUCAAUGAAAGGCCUAUGUAUGGUUCUCAAAGUUAAUAUUUAUGAAAUUUGGUUGAAGUAAGAAAAUGAUUUGAUCUGUCAAUGAAAGGCUUAUGGGAUAAAAUCUUGUGUUAGGUUUGCUUGUUAGUAGCAUUUUGUGUGCAAACAAGGAACAUGAAGCAGCAAAACCAUGUGAAGAAUAUGGGGGGUUUCUUUUUCUGUCUUUCUUUCUUUUUUAUUUUAUUUUAAAUAGCAUAUAUCAUUUAAAGGAUCAAAUUGGCCGAAUUAUAUCAUAUACGCAGCAUCGAGUUCAAGUGCAAUAUUGAAGAAAAUGCCUAAGACAGUCUAGUUGGCAUAAUGUUAUAAUUAAAAAUAAAAAGCAGUUUCACACACCAAGGAAACAAUUUUAUGAGUCUGACUUGUUUGGUUAUCUUAGCUUUAAUUUGAGGCCUAAUUUCUUUUUAAUCUUUCGUUUAUUUAAUGAGUUUUUUUGUCGGUAAGAUGCUCAACUUGACUAUAUAUAAUUGAGCAGAUGAUUCUGAAUACUGAGAUAUCAGAAUGGAGAACAGAUGGUGAUAGGCUAACCAAGUCAGGUCUUUUUGUUCUUUUUGAUGAAAAAAAUGGUUUGUCCUUUUAACGAUUUAUUCACCGGUGGGAUUUGACUCUUGAAGCUUGACGCCAUAUGGUGUCCUUUUCUACUUGUUUUCAAAAAGAUAAUCGCGCAUAGCUUGUACUUACGGUGUCUAGAUUAGCCUAUACUAUAACCUACUAAUUAAAACUAUGCUAAAAAUACAAAUAAAUAAAUAACUCCAAAACUCUAAUGAGUAAUGAAUGAUUGAACACACUUUCGCGUUAAGAGUACCUAACCUAGUUGAAAGCGAUAUUGUUAAUAUUCACUUAUCACAGUCUGCUAAGUUCGAUCCUAGUAAAUAAUUACUGAAAGUAUUAAAAAAAAAAAUCAAAAGCGAGGAAAACCCAAGAUGUACCAUUGAAAUUGAUCUGAUUGGAGAAGCAUAUUUUAGAGAUUACAUUUUUAAUUAAUUUGACUUGGUUAUAAAGUAGAAUAUGAGAGUUUCUAUGUCGGAAGAAAAUUCUUUUUUUGGUAUAUUAAACCAUCUGGUAUUUGAAAACUACAUUGGGUCCUGACUAAUUUAGAAAAUUCUUUACUUGUUACUCUCAAUCUAUUUGCUAAAUUCUCAUCAUUAAUAUGCAAUCCCAAACUUAAUUAUGUUUGCAUCCCUUUACAUCUUAUUGAUUUGCAUUUAAAACUUUCUAAUGUGUAUGUCCGCCCUUAAUUGAUUCUUCUUACAAGUACUAUAUACUAAUUUAAUAAAAUUAAAUGUAUUGUCACACUCACGAAGUUAAUUCAACUCAAAAUAUUACGUAAAAUGACCCAUCCUACAUACUAAAGUCAAUAUACUAAUUAUUGUUAAUUAAUGUGGAACAAAUUUAAGCACUCAACAAAGAUGUAUCACAUCCAACAGGAUGCAGAAUUUUUCAAAUCCCGGUAAAUCAAGUCAUCUUGGAAAAUAACCUUCCGUAUUCAAGAGGCAACCGCGUCAACACUUGAAAAAACCAAAGGCCGCCAUAAGUGGCCAUAAACAUGGCUUGUCAAGUGCAGAGCCCCACUAAGCUACAAGGUCCCAGCAGAGAACUCAGAUUCAGAAUGUGCUUUCACAUUUCUGCACGGAUGAGUUGGAGGUAACUUCGAUCAAAGCACUAGUGACUGAAAUUAUGCGCAGUCCUAUUUGAAUUUGUGAAGGGCAACCAAAAUAUUACAGACCUAGUCUAAAAUGAACAAAAUCACGCCAUAUAUAGAAUCGCACAAAUUAUGUUACACUACAUGUAAUUCCACAUAGUGUCCCCUCUAAUUAAUAGCCAAUCCUGAAUAAAUUUGAUACUUAAUGGUACUUGUUUAUAUUUAGUUGUGCGGAUAUAAGAGUGAUUUUGCAAAAUUUAAAGGCAAGGUAAGGAGGGAAAAUCGGUUAUAAAGUAGAGAUUCUGUAUCACCCGUUUCGGACAAGUUCCCCUAACUGACUUUUAAACAUAACACCUAAAAAUUCUCCUGUCCGUUUCUCUUGUUCUUGGUCUUGCAUUUUUUUUUUUAAUUUUUCAUUUUUUCGUAUCGCUCUGCCUUUGCUUUGGAUGUUAAGGCAGAGAGAUCUCUGCCCGUGUCACAAUAAUGGUAUUUCAAGAUUUUGAUCAUUUAUCAGAACGCAGGAAGGCUGAAAGACAACGAACAUUUCGAAAGCGAGUAACAAUUUCUGCCAUUUCUGCAUUUGUUCUCAUCAUUUUGAUUGCUGCGGGAGUUUUUGGAGUUGUUUCUCAAGAUAAUGGCGAGGAUUCUUCUAAAACAUCACCGUCAUCUGGAGACCCGAAAGGGAUUUCGCGUGCACAAAAAAUGAUUUCAACUAUAUGUGGGAGCACCGCAUACAAGAAUUCGUGCAAUGAUACUUUGUCGGCUGCAGCCAUCUCAAGGCUUCAAUAGCAGCAACUGUUGUUGAGCUUGACAAGGCCAUUAAGAAAGUAGAAUCCAACGAUUUUAAUGCCCCAGAAACAGAAGCUGCAUUUAAAGUUUGUAAGAAAGUCAUAGAUGACGCCAAGGAGGAAUUGAAUCGAUGUGUUUCUCAAGUUGGUGGCAAAAAGCGUGAUCUUGGGAUGCUUGUAGAAAGGGCUGGUGAAUUGAACAAUUGGCUAAGUGCAGUCAUGACUUAUCAACAGACAUGCAUUGAUGGAUUUCCUGAAGGAAAAAUGAAAUCUGACAUGGACAAAACCCUGAAUGAAACCCAGCAACUCACUAGCAAUUCUCUAGCUAUGUUAAGCCAAUUUUCAAAAUACUUGUCAUCAAUCAUGAAUUUGACGCCCGAAGGAACGGAUCAUCGCGGCCUUUUGGAUUCAAAGGAUGGAGUACUACCAUCCUGGAUGAGCCAUCAGGAAAGAAAAAUGUUGCAGGAUGAAGAAAACAACAAGAUAGAACCACACUUGAUAGUGGCAAAAGAUGGCUCCGGAAACUUUACAACAAUAUCUGAAGCAUUGGCAGCCGCACCUCAAAAAUAUGAAGGACGGUAUGAUUAAUUAUGAUAUUCAAUUGAGCUUCUAACAAUGUCAAACAAUUCAUUUUCGUAAUGGUUCGUCCAUUUUGAAUGCGCUGUAGGUUUGUCAUCUAUGUUGCCGCAGGAAUUUACGAAGAGAGUGUGACUUUGUCAAAGCGUAUGGUGAAUCUUACAAUCAUUGGGGAAGGAUCUCAGAAGUCCAUCAUUGUGGGGCGCAAAAGUGUUGCAGACGGAGUCAAUAUCUAUGAUUCUGCAACUUUUGGUACGUUAGUUACGUUAACAUUUUGGCAACAGGCAGGGGCGCCGGAACGGUGUUGAGACCCGAGUCUAGCCCUGUGAAAAAUUUUAAUAUACUCGCAAACGCACGAAUCUAGAAAUAGAAUAAUUGUAACGAGGUCGAUCCCACAAGGAUUGUUAUAAAUUGAAAAAUCUAAUUUAAAUCUAAAAUUAAUAUUAAUUCUAACUUAGUUGACCAAAUUGAGUUACUAAGAAAAUUAAACCAAUUAAACUAAGGAAGCAAUUAAAAUAAAGGAGAAUUCAAUAAGAUAAGAAUUACCAAGAUUUCAGAAUCCAUCACAAUUCAACUAGUAAUUAUCUAAUUAUUAAUUAAUCUCCAAUUUUAGAGUGACAACUCGAAAUCAAUCUGUGUCAUCUCAUGAAUAUAACAAUUAAGCCCAAGUAAUUAAAUCUAAUGUAGAUUCUUUUUCUGCUUAAUAGUAUGAUAUCUAAGCACCUCAUGUAAACAUCUUGAAUAACAAAGAGUCAAAGUUUCCCUAAGCACUCUAUGUAAACAAUUUAAUGAAAGACAUAAAAUAAAAAAUAAUCAUGUAUAAGCUUUAUAGAUCCAAAGAUAUAUUUAAUCAAAUAUUAAUCCUAACAAUCAAUAAUGCAUGACAAAAUUGAUGAAAAGAUUUUAUUAACAUCCAAUUAAUCAUGUGAAAUAAAAAUCAUAAUCAUCAAAGAACAUAUAUAUAGGGAAUUACUUAAAUAAAAAGAUAAUUAUUUCAUUGAAUAAAGUUUCAUCAUUAACCUUAGUAUAAAUAAAUUAACUAGACAUACUUGAAUUAAGAAUAACAAAAAAAAAAAAAAACCGGCCAUGAAGAAUAUUGAACUGUUGAUGCCGAUUGCUCUCUUCCGGCCUUGCGUCUGCUCUCCUCUGGCGGCUACCCCCCUUUCUAAAAUCAAAGUUUGGCUUUUAUAUUUAGUCUUCAAAUGGGCCCAUAAACAUUAGAGAAUGGGUUUGUUUUAUGUCAAGGGUCCUAAUCGAACUUUAGCUGAUAUUCAGUGUAAAUCUUACGUUUUAGUUGUGUGGUCUCUCCAAAUUUGUAGUUCUUACGUUUUAGUUGUGUGGUCUCUCCAAAUUUGUAGUUCUUACGUUUUAGUUGUGUGGUCUCUCCAAAUUUGUAGUUCUUACGUUUUAGUUGUGUGGUCUCUCCAAAUUUGUAGUUCUUACGUUUUAGUUGUGUGGUCUCUCCAAAUUUGUAGUUCUUACGUUUUAGUUGUGUGGUCUCUCCAAAUUUGUAGUUCUUACGUUUUAGUUGUGUGGUCUCUCCAAAUUUGUAGUUCUUACGUUUUAGUUGUGUGGUCUCUCCAAAUUUGUAGUUCUUACGUUUUAGUUGUGUGGUCUCUCCAAAUUUGUAGUUCUUACGUUUUAGUUGUGUGGUCUCUCCAAAUUUGUAGUUCUUACGUUUUAGUUGUGUGGUCUCUCCAAAUUUGUAGUUCUUCUCCAUCAUAACCGAUAUCCAAAAUACUGGUUCCAUCACUAGCACUAGGAUCUAUUUUACGAACUUGCUUAAUUGUUGAUUGCUUUUGCAGUGGCUAUCGGAGACGGGUUAUUUGCUAAAUCAAUGGGAUUCAGAAACAUUGCGGGUCCAGAAAAGGGUAAGGCAGUGGCUGCUAGAGUCCAAUCCGACCGUGCAACAUUUCACAACUGCCGCUUUGAGGGCUACCAAAACGCAGUGUGGGUGCAAACUCACCGCCAAUUCUACAGGAGUUGCUUAAUUACAGACACAGUCGAUUUCAUAUUUGGCGAUGCGGCAGCUAUCUUUCAGAAUUGCCAGAUAAUGGUUAGAAAACCCCUGGACGUGUGCAAUGAUUCUUGUAUUCAGAAUCAAUAGAAUUAACAUAGACUCGUUUACACAGUGAAAUUAUUCUGGUAGCCGCCAUCACUAUCUCAUUUUUGAACGACAUUAAAUACUCUCAGGACUGACAAUGUUCAGUAGGUGACCAAAAAUUUUACACUCUUAAUUCUUGAUUAAAGAGUUCUUUGUUUGGAUUAUAAUCACAGUAGUGCUUUUGGUCCUUUUGUUAUUUAAAUCAAAAGAAUAAUUAAUUGUACAAUUACGCGUGGUCGGGUAAAGAAGACGGAUAUAUGUGGAUAAAGCAAGUGUGUAAAUAAAUGUAGAAAGAAUCUGAACAUGCGAGAAUUUGGCAGUUGCCAGGACAAAAGAUGCAGCGCAAAACGACUUUGUCUCGUGAAUUUUCAGAAGAAGGGCCAAGUUGCCACUGAGAGAUUUUAAAAAUAAUUACUCACAACUCACUCUUUGGUUUUAUUUGAUUUUGCGUUAUUGAAAAAAAUGAAGGAAAAAGUGAAAGUUAUCCAUUAGCUACAACUUGCAAAUUGACGCCGAAAAAAAUAAUAACAAUGAUAAUAAUAGUAAUAAAGUUACUUGGAGGGAAAAAAAAUGAUUUACAACUAUUUUCUCAGAACAAUUCUACACGCCGCAAAAAAUAUUUUUCAAAAUACAUUGAAAUGAGAUGAUCGUAUCCAUUAUGGGAAUGAUCGAGGACGAAAUUUUUAUUUGGACAUGAGUUUGGCCUUAAAUGAAUUUCAAUUUGUGAUUUAUAUAUUGAUUUUAAGGUUUCGUUGACCCAUCAUGUUUCCUUCUUGGUUGGCACUCUAGAUUCACAUACACGGCUUCACCUCGUGCGUGAUUGAAUAAUGCUUCAUACAUAGAUACGACAACUUGUAUGUAUUUCCACAGCAAUCUUUAUAAUCUGUCAAUGACAUUCAAACAAUAAUUCAAAGCAAGCUGGAGAUCAUUCAUGUGAUCUUAAUUUUAAGUAAUUGAAUAUCAGCAAAGACUCGUUUUCUGAUUUGGGAUUGAUGAUUUUUCGAUAUGGAAUUUGAAUGUAUGUUGUCAGAUCUUGGAAAAUCCUUUAGUUUAUUAAUUGAAUUAGAGUUCAUCCUAAAACAUGUAAAGAAAUGUGUUGCAAUUUAAUUAAGGAUUAUUUAUCAGCAUUAUCAAUUAAAAAAGAAACUUAUUAUUUAUUCGCAUCACCAGUUCUCAUGAAUCAUGAUGUUAAUUUUCAAUUGGCACUCUAGAAGAAUUUUGGUUUUUAAACACAAGAAAUUAAGUUGAAGAAAUAAAACUAUUUUUAUGAUUGCAUGUAGCAAUAUUCUUUUGACUUUUAUACACAGAUGUUUGAUUUUCCUACUACAAUCUUUAUACUUUAGUCUUCGGCAUUCCCUCGAAUAAUUUACUUUAACAAGAAGUGAGAUAGAGAUCAUUCGUAUUGAAAUCUUAAGUUAUGAAGAUUAGAAAAAGACUCGUCUUAAUUAAUCAAGCUGUGAUUGAUGAUUUUUCUAUUUUGGAAUAUAAACUUAGGUGGUCAAAUCUUCGAAAAUUGUUUAUUUUACUAAUUAAACUAUAAUUAAUGCUAAAACUUGUUAGAAAUGUUUUAAAUUUAACAAUUUUGAUUUGGUUGUAAUCUAUAGAUAUAAGUUUCUGGGGUCUAAAAAAUUAUAUAGCAUUUUGCAUGAUUUUCCAUGUUACCAGCCACAUCAGAUUCCAGUUAAGUCCAAAAGUCAAGAUUCAACAAAUGCCAAAAUCGGCCAAAUUGCUAAAUGGAUUACUUUGAGCUUGGUCUAAGCUUGCUUGAUAGAAUUGAAAGCAUGAGCAUGAUUUGGUGUGUGCAGUCGCGGAUCUUAUUGUGCGCGACUGUGAGCGUGUCAAAUUUUUAUUAGAGGAUAAUUUGAGAUGUAUUUAGUCGCAUGUGACCGCGCUCCCUAGAUAGGACCUAUUAAGAGUGCUCUUAAACUCCUUUACCCGUCCAAAAUUUUGCGGAGAGGCAAAAUUUACAUCAUUGACAAGCCCCCAUGGGCCACGGCCCACCAUUCGCACAAACCAUGAAUCGCUCAUUAAUUUAUUUGUUGUUUUUGAACAAUGAAAUAUCUUCCUUGUUGGAUGUUGGCAUGUUGCUCUCUCUGCUUCAUGUGACUGUGCUAGUUCAAUAAAGGGUUCAAACUUCAAAAUAAAUAUAUCAAUAAACGUUAUAUACUAGACAAAUGCUAAGUUAACUUACACAACUCUUGUGAACCAUAUAAAUUACGAAAUUCAUAGUUUUGUAUGGUUCAGAAAAGUUAUGUAAUCAUUAUUUAUAUAAACAUCACAAUAAUACUAUCCAUAUAAACAUCACAAUAAUCAUUAUUUAUAUAUAUAAAAAAAGAGUUUCUAAUAACACAAUUGAGGUGUAGCUUAAUACCGUUAACAACAAAUCCUUUUCACAUUCGAGAGAAGGGUGAUAGGGUGUUUAGUAAACACCACUAGAUGUCAAGUAAAUCUUAAAAUAAUCAAUUGUGCUACAAAAACCAAAUUAUAAGUGUUUAAUCCUUAAGCAUAUAAACUGUCAAUAACAACAUUGAUUUAUGCCCUUGAUCUAUUAAAUAUUGUUUUAACAAGUAAUUUUACGAGUGUUUGAAUUAAUAGAUGGAUAAAAUUCAUUAUUUUGAAUCUUUGAUAACAGUAUUGACAUUGAGGGUUUCAAUCAAUUUUAUCGUUUAAAAUAGUUUAACAAAAAAAAUGAAAGCAGGAAAAAAAUCAUAAAAAAAUUUAAUAUAUAAUAUAUGAUAUAAUGUUAUUUACUUAUUAUAUAAGGGGCAAUAUACUUUUAAUGCAUUCUAAAAUUUCUUCCAACACUGGCCGCUUCUCAAGUACAUUCAAAGACUGGCAAGGGCAAACAUGGCUAUAGAAUCUCUCUCUCUCUCUCUCUCUAGCCUGCCGUGAAAAUUAAAAGAACAUACAAUAUUAUGCAUCUAUGAAUUGCUUUUAUCCCAAAGCAAAUGUAAACAAGUAUUUUAGAGACACGGUCAAAUAAUCAUCUCCCAAUUUUCAAAGAUCACCGUCACUAAAAUCCACGCAAUUCAAUAUUAUAAGUCACACAAACUCCAUGCAAUUUUGUUCCCCUCCACCCCCAAAACAUUAUUUAAGAACAAUCAGCGAUUAGCCACUCUCUUAUCUUCAACAUUUUAAACAUAGUGAAUCAAUUCACUCUGCCUUCUUCAUAUCGGCUGUCAUGGCUGCUUCCUCCUUUCUGAAACUCACCUUGCUCCUCUUCACAAUCUCCAUCUCCAUCACAGCUACUCUAAGCACUCCUUCAACAACUUCUCUACACACCAACAUAUCUUCAAUAAGCAAUUUUUGCAAAAGCACUCCGCACCCAGAUGCUUGUUUUGAGUCAUUGAAGCUCUCUAUAUCAAUCAAUAUCAGUCCAAACAUCAUCAACUUCUUGCUUCAAACUCUCCAAAUGGCCAUUUCCGAAGCCGGGAAGGUCACCAAUCUAUUGGCCGGUGCAGGCAGCUCUAAUAUUGUCGAGAAACAGAGAGGCACAAUCCAAGAUUGUAAAGAACUUCACCAAAUCACAUUAUCCGCUUUACAGAAAUCUCUCCCGAAAAUCCGUGCAGCUCAUGGUGCUAAAACCUUAUCCGAUGCAAGAGCAUAUCUCAGUGCAGCUCUAACAAAUAAGAAUACUUGUUUAGAGAGCCUUAACUCUGCUUCAGGUUAUUUGAAGCAACCUUUAGUGAACUCUAUAACAAGUACUUACAGGUAUGUGAGCAACUCCCUGUCAGCACUUCCAAAGCCAGCGACGACAGAAGGCAACAAACACCGCCGCCGCCUAAUGGGAUUUCCAGAAUGGUUUUCAAGAAAAGAUCGCCGGAUUCUGCAGAGCUCCGAUGACGAUAAUGAGUAUGACCAGAGUCAAGUGCUGACCGUGGCUGCCGAUGGAACGGGAGAUUUCACUACCAUCACUGAUGCGAUAAAUUUUGCUCCCAAUAACAGCGAUGAUAGAGUAAUCAUCAAUAUUAAACAAGGGGUUUAUGAGGAGAAUUUGGAAAUUCCAAGCUAUAAGACCAACAUUUUUCUGCGUGGAGGCGGUAAAGAGUCAACUAUCAUCACCGGAAGCAGAAGUGUGGGCGAUGGCUGGACCACUUUCAGAUCUGCAAC